GUUUAAAUCUUCUAAACUGUGAAUUUCUAAACCGUGAUUAUUCACUGAAGUUCAGCACUGCAGCGAAUUGAAAUCAAGAGGACAAAGUGGAGGCAAGAAUAAUCGAUACAUACAAAUUCUUCAGCGCUGCUAUCAGUCAUACAGUUUCGCUAUUUUAGCCAUUUAGAGGUCAAUUUACUACAAGUUGGAGUUUAGUAAAUAAAUUUGCGCCUAGUAAAAC
Non-coding RNA from Pelobates cultripes (western spadefoot toad), 220 nucleotides. Lineage: Eukaryota; Metazoa; Chordata; Amphibia; Anura; Pelobatidae. The record is from the annotation of a GenBank genome assembly.